UGCCAGACUCCUACGGGAGGCAGCAGUGGGGAAUAUUGCACAAUGGGGGAAACCCUGAUGCAGCAACGCCGCGUGAGUGAAGAAGUAUUUCGGUAUGUAAAGCUCUAUCAGCAGGGAAGAAAAUGACAGUACCUGACUAAGAAGCCCCGGCUAACUACGUGCCAGCAGCCGCGGUAAUACGUAGGGAGCAAGCGUUAUCCGGAUUUACUGGGUGUAAAGGGCGCGUAGGCGGGAUGGCAAGUCAGAUGUGAAAUCCAAGGGCUCAACCCUUGAACUGCAUUUGAAACUGUCGUUCUUGAGUACUGGAGAGGUUGACGGAAUUCCUAGUGUAGCGGUGAAAUGCGUAGAUAUACGGAGGAACACCAGUGGCGAAGGCGGCCUGCUGGACAUUAACUGACGCUGAGGCGCGAAAGCGUGGGGAGCAAACAGGAUUAGAUACCCCAGUA
Molecule: ribosomal RNA, 446 nt
Filed under: uncultured bacterium
Lineage: Bacteria
Description: bacterial SSU rRNA
Rfam family: Bacterial small subunit ribosomal RNA
Source: RNAcentral